ACAUACGACCAUACCCACUGGAAAACUCGGGAUCCCGUCCGCUCUCCCAUAGAUAAGCUAAUGAGGGCUGGAUUAGUAGUUGGGUCGGUGACGACCAGCGAAUACCUGGUGUUGUAUGUC
This is a ribosomal RNA of Colletotrichum orchidophilum, 120 nucleotides long. The record is from Rfam. NCBI's taxonomy places the organism in Eukaryota, Fungi, Ascomycota, Sordariomycetes, Glomerellales, Glomerellaceae.